This is an RNA transcript of Cryptotermes secundus, 2229 nucleotides long. It is a transcript of the gene named alpha-methylacyl-CoA racemase, with no coding region annotated. NCBI's taxonomy places the organism in Eukaryota, Metazoa, Arthropoda, Insecta, Blattodea, Kalotermitidae. The transcript is spliced from 7 exons. The record is from RefSeq and is a predicted model, not a curated record.
UGAUGUAGGCUAUGUUAGUGCGUGUUGCAGGGAGAACAGCAGAUGACAAUUGUAGUGCAAGUUGAUUGAUGUUUAGGAGGUGUUAUUUGAAAGCUGUCGGGUCUGUUUAUAUUGUCAACAUAUAACAAGAAGUGUGGGAGGAACAUUUUAUUAUAGAGGUUUGUAUUCAAAUAUAUCAUAUUCACAUCAAAGCUGCAUUAAUGGCUCUGCGAGGUGUUCAAAUUGUUGAGAUGGCCGGACUUGCACCUGUUCCAUUCUGUGGGAUGGUUUUGGCAGAUUUUGGUGCAACUGUAAUAAGAGUUUGUAAGAUUGAAGGAGAACUGGAUUUUGAUUGUUUAGCCAAUGGAAAAAAGUCAUUGGCACUUAAUGUGAAACAUCCAAAAGGUGUUGAAAUACUUCGCAGAAUAUGCAAGAAGUCAGAUGUGCUUAUAGAACCAUUCAGAAAGGGGGUUAUGGAGAAAUUGGGACUUGGACCUAAUAUUCUUCUUGAAGAUAAUCCACAGUUGGUAUAUGCUAGGUUAACAGGUUUUGGCCAAUAUGGGAAAUACUCAAAAAUGGCUGGUCAUGACAUAAAUUAUAUAGCAGUUUCUGGUCUGUUAUCACUUCUUGGUCGUAAGAAUGAGAAGCCAACUGCACCAAUCAAUCUGGCAGCUGAUUUUGGUGGGGGUGGUUUGCUGUGUGCUCUGGGAAUUAUGAUGGCAUUAUAUGAAAGAACAAAUUCAGGUUUCGGACAAGUAGUGGAUGCCAAUAUGGUAGAAGGAUCAGCAUAUCUUAGUAGUUGGAUAUUUCGUUCACAGAAACAUCCAUACUGGGGACAACCACGUGGGGAAAACAUGCUGGAUACUGGAUCACAUUUCUAUGACACGUAUGAAACAAAAGAUGGUAAAUACAUGGCAGUAGGAGCUUUGGAACCACAGUUUUACUCUAAACUGCUCCAUGGUUUGGGUUUCUCAGAUGAAGAGGUACCACAGAUGGAAAAUUCUGAAGCUCAUCGAGAGUUAUUCACAAAGAGGUUUCAAGAACGCACUCAGCAAGAAUGGUGUGAGGUAUUUGAUGGAACUGAUGCUUGUGUAACUCCUGUGCUGUCAUUGGAUGAAGCUCCCAAACAUCCUCAUAACGCUGAAAGGAACUCAUUUGUAACAUACGUUGAUCAUAAUAUUCCUGCACCUGCAGCUGCCCCUCGCCUCAGUAGAACACCUCCAGUCACUAAAGCCAUGGAACCUAAAUCCCAGCAUGGUGAACACACGGUUGAAAUACUCAUUGAUAACAAUUAUACUAUGCAAGAAGUUCAACAAUUAGAACAUGAAGGUGUCAUUGCUACAAAGAAAUCAAAGCUUUGAAAAGCGAAGACACAAUACAGACGAAAUGAAACAUGAUCAUAAUAGUUGGCUGACAAAUCUUUCUAGCCUGUGUAUGCCUCACUGAUAAACAGAGUGUCUUAUUGUGUAUGGGCUUAAAAAUUGUACUUCCUUUGCAAGCUCAAGGCUACUGUGGAUGAAUGAACUGAACUGUUCUUCCAGACACUACUGCAAAAUCGUUAUCUUUUACAGACUAUGAAAUCAUCAUUAAAAUGAUUAUAUCACUGGAAACAUUGUUGCAAAUCAAGUGGCAGAUACCUUAAGGACAAGCCACAUUUAUGGAACAGAAGUAACAGGUUUAAUAUGUAAAUGGUCAUGAAAAUAUUUAGGCAAACAGAAGAACCACUGAUACUAGUAAAUCAACUUAUGAGCAAACACCCAAGGAAUUCAAAGAAGAAGCAUACAUAUUUUCUCUCUACCUUCCUACAAGUACAGCUGGAAUGAAUUUGUGACAGCAGUCAGUUUAUAAUUAAACAUUUCAUUUCACUUUUGAUUUUCACCGACUUGUGAACAUGCUAGAUUUGUCAGUAUUAUUACAGAGAUGUUUCAAGGUUAUAAAUUUUUCAGUGUGUACAUCAUGGAAUUUGUGACAUGUCAUUAUUAUGUACUAGCAAAUAUGCUCAGCAUUGCCCAAGCAUAAUGCACACACAUAAAAAAACAAAAUUUAUAAUAAAUCUGGUGACUACCGAAGAUACUCUGGGUUUUCCCCUGUAUCCCAGCAGCAGCAGAAGAUGUUCCAAGUUUUCCUCCAUAUUCUAGCAACAGCAAAAGAUUGUCUGGGGUUUCCUCCUUAUGUAGUAACAGCAGAAGGUAGCAGAUUAUGAUCUGAGUUUUAACAGAUUUCGUAGCAACAGCAGAUGACAAUUUGGGC